UACGGAGGGUGCGAGCGUUAAUCGGAAUUACUGGGCGUAAAGCGCGCGUAGACGGUGUGUUAAGUCGGAUGUGAAAGCCCAGGGCUCAACCUUGGAAUUGCAUCCGAUACUGGCACGCUAGAGUGCAGUAAAGGAAGGUGGAAUUUCCGGUGUAGCGGUGAAAUGCGUAGAGAUCGGAAAAAACACCAGUGGCGGAGGCGGCCUCCUGGACUGACACUGACGCUGAGGUGCGAAAGCGUGGGGAGCAAACAGG
RNAcentral lists this unclassified non-coding RNA (253 nucleotides) under uncultured Alcanivoracaceae bacterium. RNAcentral describes it as "contains 16S-23S intergenic spacer region". It matches the Rfam family "Bacterial small subunit ribosomal RNA", at positions 524 to 776 of the family's 1533-position model. Lineage: Bacteria; Pseudomonadati; Pseudomonadota; Gammaproteobacteria; Oceanospirillales; Alcanivoracaceae. The record is from RNAcentral.